Long non-coding RNA from Passer domesticus (house sparrow), 494 nucleotides. RefSeq lists it as uncharacterized. The transcript has 3 exons. The record is from RefSeq and is a predicted model, not a curated record. NCBI's taxonomy places the organism in Eukaryota, Metazoa, Chordata, Aves, Passeriformes, Passeridae.
GAAGGGCUGGGAAGGAUGAGCUUCUGAGCAGCCAAACUCUAUUGUUUCCAGGACCUCGUGCUGCAUUUAAAAUGCAAGCAGGGUGAAUACUAGCAACAGCAGGGUGAAUACUACCCCUUUUUAAGUGCUGCUAGGACAAAACCAUAGGAGAGCAUUGACAGAGGUCUUUGGCAGAAGCUGCAGUGAGCCUGGAUGCCUUUGCAGAAAAAGGAGGCAAGCGGUGGGACCUGAACAGCUAAAUGACUUAAUCGGUCUCAGCAGUUGACCACUGUGAUUUGAUGGCCACAUAUGCUCAAACCCCGAGGGAAAAAGAAUGCUUGAGUUAGCAUGGCAGCCACAACUUUUAAAUGCACAAACAACAGCUCUGAAGAAGAAACACAGCUUUGAAUUCUAACUAGCUGCAAUGUAUUUGGAGAGCACCUUCCUUAAACCUCCUCAAGCACAAGGCAAGUAAAAAAGCCCAAGUCCGUCUUUUCAGAAUGGAAUUUAUUUCA